This 503-nucleotide ribosomal RNA is filed under the name Paenibacillus sp. RNAcentral's name for it is "bacterial SSU rRNA". It matches the Rfam family "Bacterial small subunit ribosomal RNA", at positions 154 to 644 of the family's 1533-position model. The record is from RNAcentral. Lineage: Bacteria; Bacillati; Bacillota; Bacilli; Caryophanales; Paenibacillaceae.
AAACGAUAGCUAAGACCGGAUAGCUGGUUUUCUCGCAUGAGAGAAUCAUGAAACACGGGGCAACCUGUGGCUUGCGGAUGGGCCUGCGGCGCAUUAGCUAGUUGGUAGGGUAACGGCCUACCAAGGCGACGAUGCGUAGCCGACCUGAGAGGGUGAACGGCCACACUGGGACUGAGACACGGCCCAGACUCCUACGGGAGGCAGCAGUAGGGAAUCUUCCGCAAUGGACGCAAGUCUGACGGAGCAACGCCGCGUGAGUGAUGAAGGUUUUCGGAUCGUAAAGCUCUGUUGCCCUAGACGAACGGUAUGGAGAGUAACUGCUCCAUAAGUGACGGUAUAGGAGAAGAAAGCCCCGGCUAACUACGUGCCAGCAGCCGCGGUAAUACGUAGGGGGCAAGCGUUGUCCGGAAUUAUUGGGCGUAAAGCGCGCGCAGGCGGUUCAUUAAGUUUGGUGUUUAAGCCCGGGGCUCAACCCCGGUUCGCAUCGAAAACUGGUGGACUUG